This is a long non-coding RNA of Glycine soja, 1469 nucleotides long. RefSeq lists it as uncharacterized. NCBI's taxonomy places the organism in Eukaryota, Viridiplantae, Streptophyta, Magnoliopsida, Fabales, Fabaceae. The transcript has 3 exons. The record is from RefSeq and is a predicted model, not a curated record.
AUUCUUGCUAUUUGUUAUGAAUGAAAUUUUCUCUUUCUCUACAGGUUUGAGCAGAAGUUCAUGUUACAUUUGCACAUUACAAUUGUAUUUUACCUCUUGCUCUCUGUCUCAUCUUUGUCUUCCUGACAGAUUUAAGUAUUUCUUAUUAAAUAUCAUGUCCCACACAAAACUUUCAUUGCAUUUGGAUGAAUUUGUUCAUAUCAAAACUGGGUUGCAGGUAUGUGAAUUUCCUAACUUGUAUAAUGAAUUUUUAUGGAGUCAAACUCUGAUUAGAGGAGAAAAGUUUUGCGGAUUGAACUUUAAAUAUUUUCUACCUUAUGUAAUAGCUAAUAGUUUCAAUAUUGAUAGUGUGAAAUUAUGCUUUAUCCGGCUACUGACCUACUGUGGGUGUAUCUUUUCCUUUUAUUUUAUAUUUUAUAUUUUUCACAUGGGAGGCAAUGAAGUGAUACUUGUUUUGCUGUUAUUAUCAGUUAUGAAGUAAGCAUGACUUUCUCAUGUUGACUAUUUGUAGUCUCAUAUUUCAAAUUAUCAUUCAAGCUGGUCUUCUCAAAAAGGGUUUAUGUUCAGUUCAGGAUGAGAGUGCAGGUCAACUUCUCAUCUUUUCUCAUAGAAGGAAUGCCUAUAAGGCUGUAAUAUCUAAAAUUUCUUUUCCCUUCUUUUGUAUUUUACUUGGAACACUGGCCCCUGCUUUGCUAAGAUGACUCACCAGGAAUAAUGCAUUAUUUUUAUGUGUUUAUGUUCAUGUAUUAGUAGCACCGAAGUUUCUUUGUAUGAUUCUCUUGUGCUUGAUCGAAUAUGAGUCACUAAGUAGCAUUAUUUAGGUCAUUUGCCAAGCGACCUUUAGAAAGGAGACAUGUGACCAAAGGCGUUCCAUUUUGUAUACACACUAUUUUACCCUAUAUGCUAAUUGAAGUAUAGAUUUCAACCAGUCUUUAUUUCCUUUUUUUUAAUUAAAAGGAAUUUUUAUGUUACAUGGUUAUAUUCUUGUACAAUGUUUCACACAUCCUUGAUUGCAGGUCUGGUAGUUUCUGUUGUGGAUCCUCAACCUGGUGAAACUAUUAUUGAUUGUUGUGCUGCUCCUGGCGGAAAGACCCUCUACAUGGCCUCUCAUUUAAGUGGCCAAGGUAGCUAGAGCAUAAUUAAUCUUAAUCAUGCUGUAAGGAGGAGCACACAUCUUAGCAAAGGAAUGAAGCCCAUCUCUGCAUUGUUCGUAAUCUUGUCUCUUCUCCUGGUUGCCAACAUCAACUUAAGCCAUGCAAGAAAAGACCUGGGGGAUUAUUGGAAGAAAAUGAUGAAUGACCAACCUAUGCCUGAAGCAAUUAAAGAAAAUUGUUCAAGUUCAACAAGUAUCAGAUGCAAGAACGGAUCAUUUUAUAAGGGACUUCAAUAUAAAGCCUAAUGUCAUAUUAUAUCACACCCAUGUUAACGUUGUGUCCAAGAAGCAGAAGCAAAAGGCUUUUGACCACAAG